This 1091-nucleotide long non-coding RNA is filed under the name Homo sapiens (human). RNAcentral describes it as "non-protein coding lnc-HERPUD2-1:2". The record is from RNAcentral. Lineage: Eukaryota; Metazoa; Chordata; Mammalia; Primates; Hominidae.
UGACUUGGUUCAGCAAUACAGUUGGAACAAUUGAACACAUUUGUAUGUGAGGAUGGAGGAGGGAAGAAUGAAAAGGAGGGAUUGGGAAGGGGAUGGGGACAAAGUUCAUAGAAGCACAGUGGCUAGACCUGUAACUCAUGGCAGUGGCCAGCUAUUUGUCCAAUGAGCAGGAAAUGGCCUCUAAAGUUUCUCCAUUGUGUCUAUGACCUUGCAUUUCAGCAUCUGAAAAGAAAACACAAGAGGUUCGGUUGGUGCAAUGUUCCUUUCUUCCCAGGACUUUCUGGUCUUCAAGGCUUUCUCAUGAGACAGAAGACUGAUGGAUGUAGAAGUUUCUAAGAGGACAGUUACGCUGCCAUGUUUUGAAGCAGGAAGACGUUACCACUUCUCAAAGGUCUUUAAUUGCCUGACCACUGCUUCUCUUUGGAAGGCUGUCAGGGUGAUGGAAUCUCAGAUCACAGCACAGAUAAAAUGGACAAAGAAAGAAAGAUACAAGAAGGAUGUAAAAAUGUCCAUAAUGAACUCAUGUAUCUUGCGGAAACCUCUAAUCUAAUGAGAAUGGAUUUUGUUGAGAAGAUUGUACACCAACAAUUAAUUAUUCAUGGCAGAGACAUCAUUAAGAUUUCAUUUUGUUUAAAGGCCUCUAAGUGACUUAGGAAAUUAGGUUAAGCUAGAGAAGAAUUUCAAGAAAGAGACAAGGGAAAGCUUUUCGUUAUAUUGACUUUUUCUAAUAUUUUCCAGAUAGAUAUUUUGACUUGGUACAUAAAUUAUACUCUGACUAAAAAUCUCCAAUGAUUUGUCUGAGUAAGAGUCUUCACAUGGGUGGAUCAUAUACCAGUGUGGUCAGAUGGAAGCAGAUGGACAGAGAUUUGUGAAAGGAUUAGGAGGUUCAUUCCAGAAUUCUAUAAUAAUUCAAUUUGGCUUUUUGGUUAGGAAUGUAGUGAGGAGUCUCCUUGAAAUGACAAUGGGAUUUGUGCAACCUGUGACAUUUUGCACUCAAGGAUCCUUUUCCCAGUGCCCUAUGGGAUGUGAGCACCUGUUCACUUACAGUACAUGUAAGAUAAGACACUUUUAAUAAAAACUCUGGAGACCUG